GUGUCAAAAGCAUUUGGUUGUCACAAUGACAGUGUUGGUGCAGCAGAAGGAAAAACAGGCUCUUUAAAUUUCUGUCAGGGUGACAGACAACUUCAGGUCAGUACAGAAAACGACAACACCUUAUAUACUUUACAGAAUCAAAUUUCUCCUGUAAGCCUGGCUCAUGGCUUUAACUCUCCUUUCUCUCUUUGCAGGUAGUUGAAGUGUCCUGUAGUGCAAAAAGGAACAUAAGGUAAAAAGGAUAUGAAGAGCUGCUUUGUACAGCUGUUACAUGUGCAGCAGAUUGUGCGUCCUCACAUGAAACACUUUUGUUUCCAGCCAAACUGCCUGCAAUGUGGUGCUGCUGCUCAACCAUGCUGUCUCAGUGUGUGAACUUCAACAAGCUGGAGACGCUGCACUGCAGCAAGCGAGAAUCAUAGGGGAGAUGGAGAGAGUCGGUCGAAAUCUGUGUAAGGAUGCAGAGCCCUCUAGUGGCGGUUUUGUGAGAUGCAAUUCCACGUCUUCUCUUGACGAUAUCUGUCAGUCAAAUAAAUCCUCUCCACUAACAUGCUUCCUCUUAGAGUCCAACUCCAACCCGGCUCCUAAAUUGAAGAAUGACUCUUGUAGCAGGGAAAUGCCUCGCUACUGUGAUUGCACAGCUUUCUGUAAUUCUACACGUAAGAAAAAUAAUCACAAUAUUGCACUGACAUUUUUAGAAUCCAGGCUGCUGCUGCAAUAUGUGAUGAGUGAAUGCACCAUUUUUAUUCAAAUUUAAAGAAAAUAUUUAGGCUUUUGGAAAACAUAACGUUGCUUCUAUGAAGCAAGCUAUCUGAGAAGAGAACUUCUCAGUUAAUAAGUAUUUUUAUGGUGUCUCAGAAACUCCACCCACAUACUAACCAUCCCUUUUCUUUAUCGCUUUCUCAGGCCAAUUUUAUGCUUUUAGAAUCAAUGUUACUAGUGAAGCUGUUAACAUUCAGUCCCUAAAAAGCUUGGUAUGUACCACACUGUAUGCUUAAAGUAUGACUCAUUAAUAUAUAAUUAAUAUACAUAUAUAUAUACAGUGGCUUGCAAAAGUAUUCGUAUAAUGUGACAAAAUGUGGGGCCGAAUACUUUUGCAAGCCACUGUAUAUAUAUACAUAUACGUAUAUAUUUUAUGCAACUUUGUAACUUUGUAACCCUAUUUGACAGUUACUAAGUCCUGCAUGUCCCACAAAUUCACAGUAAGUCUUGAUCCAGUUACAUUACAUACAGUAAGUGUGGAUUGUGUUGAUAUUUACUAUGCAUUUGUUAGUAUCAGUAUGUUGGUCACAACAGCAGACAAAGCAACAGUAAGCAGUAAAAAGUUCUGCUGUUAAACUAAACUGUCCUGGUUCCCAUAUGGAAAAGAAAUAGUAAAAACUUAUAUGAUUUACUCAUGAAAGUGGCCACUUUCAUGAGUAAAUCAUAUAAGGCUUACAUGAUUUACUCAUGAAAGUGGCCACUUUCUCAUUACUUUCAUAUAUUGUUUUAGUAAGUAUCCAAAACAUACAAGUUUCAUUUAUAUAAUUUUUCAAGGGAUCUU
Molecule: long non-coding RNA, 1540 nt
Filed under: Oreochromis niloticus (Nile tilapia)
Lineage: Eukaryota; Metazoa; Chordata; Actinopteri; Cichliformes; Cichlidae
Description: lncRNA (ENSONIG00000037142.1)
Source: RNAcentral